RNAcentral lists this ribosomal RNA (916 nucleotides) under uncultured crenarchaeote. RNAcentral's name for it is "bacterial SSU rRNA". It matches the Rfam family "Archaeal small subunit ribosomal RNA", at positions 1 to 921 of the family's 1478-position model. The record is from RNAcentral. Lineage: Archaea; Thermoproteati; Thermoproteota.
UUCCGGUUGAUCCCGCCGGACCUUGACUGGUUAUCGGAUUGAUAUUAACCAUGGGAUUCUUUGUAACCAAACAAGGCAGCGGCUCAUUAACGCGUAGUCCACCUUAACCUUAUGGACGGGAAUAAACCUCGGGGAAAUUGAAGUAUAAUGCCCGGAUAGAACACUAUACCCUGGAAUGGGUUUUGUGUUUCCAAAUGAUUUAUCGCCGUUAGGAUGGGACCUGCGGCCUAUCCAGUUUGUUGGUUGAGGUAAUGGCCCACCCAAGACUAUUACAGGUACGGGCUCUGAGAGGAGUAGCCCGGAGAUGGGUACUGAGACACGGACCCAGGCCCUAUGGGGCGCAGCAGGCGAGAAAACUUUGCAAUGUGCGAAAGCACGACAAGGUUAAUCCGAGUGAUUUGUGCUAAACGAAUCUUUUGUUAGUCCUAGAACCACUAACGAAUAAGGGUGGGCAAGUUCUGUGUCAGCCGCCGCGUUAAAACCAGCACCUCAAGUGGUCAGGAUGAUUAUUGGGCCUAAAGCAUCCGUAGCCGGCUCUGUAAGUUUUCGGUUAAUCUGUACGCUUAACGUACAGGCUGCCGGGAAUACUGCAGAGCUAGGGAGUGGGAGAGUAGACGGUACUCGGUAGGAAGGGGUAAAAUCCUUUGAUCUAUUGAUGACACCUGUGGCGAAGGCGGUCUAACAGAACACGUCCGACGGUGAGGGAUGAAAGCUGGGGGAGCAAACCGGAUUAAUACCCGGGUAUCCAGCUGUUAACUAUGCCAACUCAGUGAUGCAUUGACUUGUGGUCCAUGCAGUGCUGCAGGGAAGCCGUUAAGUUUGCCGCCUGGGAAGUACGUACGCAAGUAUGAACUUAAAGGAAUUGGCGGGGGAGCACCACAAGGGUGAGCCUGCGGUUCAAUUGGAUCAACGCCGG